CUCUACCAAAGGAUAAUAGCAUUCCGCUGGUCUUAGGCACCUCAAUCCUUGGUGCAAAUCCAAGUAAAAGU
This 71-nucleotide transfer RNA is filed under the name Lampropeltis pyromelana. RNAcentral's name for it is "partial tRNA-Leu". Lineage: Eukaryota; Metazoa; Chordata; Lepidosauria; Squamata; Colubridae. The record is from RNAcentral.